RNAcentral lists this ribosomal RNA (468 nucleotides) under uncultured bacterium. RNAcentral's name for it is "partial 16S ribosomal RNA". It matches the Rfam family "Bacterial small subunit ribosomal RNA", at positions 28 to 507 of the family's 1533-position model. The record is from RNAcentral.
GACGAACGCUGGCGGCGUGCUUAACACAUGCAAGUCGAACGGAAAGGCCCUGCUUUUGUGGGGUGCUCGAGUGGCGAACGGGUGAGUAACACGUGAGUAACCUGCCCUUGACUUUGGGAUAACUUCAGGAAACUGGGGCUAAUACCGGAUAGGAGCUCCCGCUGCAUGGUGGGGGUUGGAAAGUUUCGGCGGUUGGGGAUGGGCUCGCGGCUUAUCAGCUUGUUGGUGGGGUAGUGGCUUACCAAGGCUUUGACGGGUAGCCGGCCUGAGAGGGUGACCGGCCACAUGGGGACUGAGAUACGGCCCAGACUCCUACGGGAGGCAGCAGUGGGGAAUAUUGCACAAUGGGCGGAAGCCUGAUGCAGCAACGCCGCGUGCGGGAUGACGGCCUUCGGGUUGUAAACCGCUUUCGCCUGUGACGAAGCGUGAGUGACGGUAAUGGGUAAAGAAGCACCGGCUAACUACGUG